RNAcentral lists this transfer RNA (63 nucleotides) under Marmota monax (woodchuck). RNAcentral's name for it is "tRNA.Leu". The record is from RNAcentral. Lineage: Eukaryota; Metazoa; Chordata; Mammalia; Rodentia; Sciuridae.
GGUGAUAUAGCUUAGUGGUAGAGUGCUAGCAUACAUAGGCCCUGGGUUCAAUCCCCAGCACUG